CUACGGGGUGCUCCAGCAGGGAAUAUUGCACAAUGGACGGAAGUCUGAUGCAGCGACGCCGCGUGGAUGAUGAAGGCCCUCGGGUUGUAAAAUCCUCUUCAGGGGGACGAGGAAGGACGGUACCCUUGGAAUAAGCGUCGGCUAACUACGUGCCAGCAGCCGCGGUAAGACGUAGGACGCAAGCGUUAUCCGGAUUUACUGGGCGUAAAGCGUCUGUAGGCGGAAUGGUAAGUUGGACGUGAAAGCUCCGGGCUCAACCCGGAGAGGUCGUUCAAUACUGCCAAACUAGAGGGCAUCAGAGGAGCGUGGAAUUUCCGGUGUAGCGGUAAAAUGCGCAGAUAUCGGAAGGAACACCAAUGGCGAAGGCAGCGCUCUGGGAUGAACCUGACGCUAAGAGACGAAAGCUAGGGGAGCGAACAGGAUUAGAUACCCCUGUAGUC
This 440-nucleotide ribosomal RNA is filed under the name uncultured bacterium. RNAcentral describes it as "partial 16S ribosomal RNA". It matches the Rfam family "Bacterial small subunit ribosomal RNA", at positions 339 to 795 of the family's 1533-position model. The record is from RNAcentral.